AGGACCACCAGGGCUACCAGGACCUAGAGGAAGCAAAGGAGACCUUGGCCUGCCUGGUAUCACUGGUCCAACGGGUGAUACAGGUGUAAAAGGAGUGACUGGCCUCCCAGGGUUUAAUGGUAUGAAGGGAGAAACUGGAAACCAAGGUCUUCAAGGUCAAAAGGGUGUCAAAGGCAAUAUGGGAGAGACUGGACCAAAAGGACAAACUGGAGGUCCGGGAACAAAGGGAGACAAAGGAGAGUG
Long non-coding RNA from Polyodon spathula (Mississippi paddlefish), 243 nucleotides. RefSeq lists it as uncharacterized. The transcript has 3 exons. The record is from RefSeq and is a predicted model, not a curated record. Lineage: Eukaryota; Metazoa; Chordata; Actinopteri; Acipenseriformes; Polyodontidae.